This 459-nucleotide ribosomal RNA is filed under the name uncultured bacterium. RNAcentral's name for it is "partial 16S ribosomal RNA". It matches the Rfam family "Bacterial small subunit ribosomal RNA", at positions 338 to 795 of the family's 1533-position model. The record is from RNAcentral.
CCUACGGGAGGCAGCAGUGAGGAAUAUUGGUCAAUGGGAGAGAUCCUGAACCAGCCAAGCCGCGUGAGGGAAGACGGCCCUAUGGGUUGUAAACCUCUUUUGUCGGAGAACAAAACCCGGGACGUGUCCCGUACUGCGUGUAUCCGAAGAAAAAGCAUCGGCUAACUCCGUGCCAGCAGCCGCGGUAAUACGGAGGAUGCGAGCGUUAUCCGGAUUUAUUGGGUUUAAAGGGUGCGUAGGCGGUCCGUUAAGUCAGCGGUAAAAUUGCGGGGCUCAACCCCGUCGAGCCGUUGAAACUGGCAGACUUGAGUUGGCGAGAAGUACGCGGAAUGCGCGGUGUAGCGGUGAAAUGCAUAGAUAUCGCGCAGAACUCCGAUUGCGAAGGCAGCGUACCGGAGCCAGACUGACGCUGAGGCACGAAAGCGUGGGGAUCGAACAGGAUUAGAUACCCCUGUAGUC